GGCAGAGACAGGAGCAAUUGCUGGUGUACCUUGGGAGCAUUGCACUUGUCUCGGUCUG
This 58-nucleotide microRNA precursor is filed under the name Xenopus laevis (African clawed frog). RNAcentral's name for it is "Xla-Mir-92-P2d4_pre stem-loop". Lineage: Eukaryota; Metazoa; Chordata; Amphibia; Anura; Pipidae. The record is from RNAcentral.